This 69-nucleotide transfer RNA is filed under the name Odobenus rosmarus rosmarus (Atlantic walrus). Its description in RNAcentral is "tRNA-Lys". It matches the Rfam family "tRNA". From Rfam's summary of the family: Transfer RNA (tRNA) molecules are approximately 80 nucleotides in length. Their secondary structure includes four short double-helical elements and three loops (D, anti-codon, and T loops). The record is from RNAcentral. Lineage: Eukaryota; Metazoa; Chordata; Mammalia; Carnivora; Odobenidae.
CAUUAAGAAGCUAUAAAGCGUUAACCUUUUAAGUUAAAGAUUGAAGGUANUCUAGCCCUUCCUUAAUGA